This 254-nucleotide ribosomal RNA is filed under the name uncultured bacterium. RNAcentral describes it as "partial 16S ribosomal RNA". It matches the Rfam family "Bacterial small subunit ribosomal RNA", at positions 524 to 776 of the family's 1533-position model. The record is from RNAcentral.
UACGGGGGGAGCAAGCGUUGUUCGGAUUUACUGGGCGUAAAGGGCGCGUAGGCGGCCACCGCAAGUCAAUUGUGAAAUCUCCGGGCUUAACUCGGAAAGGUCAACUGAUACUGCGGGGCUAGAGUGCGGAAGGGGCAACUGGAAUUCUCGGUGUAGCGGUGAAAUGCGUAGAUAUCGAGAGGAACACCUGCGGCGAAGGCGGGUUGCUGGGCCGACACUGACGCUGAGGCGCGAAAGCGUGGGGAGCGAACAGG